This 70-nucleotide transfer RNA is filed under the name Ornithorhynchus anatinus (platypus). It matches the Rfam family "tRNA". Rfam says of the family: Transfer RNA (tRNA) molecules are approximately 80 nucleotides in length. Their secondary structure includes four short double-helical elements and three loops (D, anti-codon, and T loops). Lineage: Eukaryota; Metazoa; Chordata; Mammalia; Monotremata; Ornithorhynchidae. The record is from Rfam by way of RNAcentral.
AGCAGUGUUGCCUAGUGGAAAGAGCAUUGACCUGGGAAUCAAAACCUGGGUUUUAAUCCCAGCUCUGCCA